CCUACGGGUGGCAGCAGUGGGGAAUAUUGCGCAAUGGGCGAAAGCCUGACGCAGCGACGCCGCGUGAGGGAUGAAGGUCUUCGGAUCGUAAACCUCUGUCAGCAGGGAAGAACGGUCACUGUGCUAAUCAGCAGUGAAUUGACGGUACCUGCAAAGGAAGCACCGGCUAACUCCGUGCCAGCAGCCGCGGUAAUACGGAGGGUGCGAGCGUUAAUCGGAAUUACUGGGCGUAAAGCGCUCGUAGGCGGUAUGUCAAGUCAAGGGUGAAAUCCCCGGGCUCAACGUGGGAACUGCCGUUGAAACUGGCAAACUGGAGUGUGUGAGAGGAUAGUGGAAUUCCAGGUGUAGGAGUGAAAUGCGUAGAUAUCGGGAGGAACAUCAGUGGCGAAGGCGACUAUCUGGCACAUAACUGACGCUGAGGAGCGAAAGCGUGGGUAGCAAACAGGAUUAGAUACCCUGGUAGUC
Molecule: ribosomal RNA, 465 nt
Filed under: uncultured bacterium
Lineage: Bacteria
Description: partial 16S ribosomal RNA
Rfam family: Bacterial small subunit ribosomal RNA
Source: RNAcentral